This 852-nucleotide ribosomal RNA is filed under the name Pseudomonas fluorescens bv. I. Its description in RNAcentral is "bacterial SSU rRNA". It matches the Rfam family "Bacterial small subunit ribosomal RNA", at positions 56 to 904 of the family's 1533-position model. The record is from RNAcentral. Lineage: Bacteria; Pseudomonadati; Pseudomonadota; Gammaproteobacteria; Pseudomonadales; Pseudomonadaceae.
UGCAGUCGAGCGGUAGAGAGAAGCUUGCUUCUCUUGAGAGCGGCGGACGGGUGAGUAAUACCUAGGAAUCUGCCUGAUAGUGGGGGAUAACGUUCGGAAACGGACGCUAAUACCGCAUACGUCCUACGGGAGAAAGCAGGGGACCUUCGGGCCUUGCGCUAUCAGAUGAGCCUAGGUCGGAUUAGCUAGUUGGUGAGGUAAUGGCUCACCAAGGCUACGAUCCGUAACUGGUCUGAGAGGAUGAUCAGUCACACUGGAACUGAGACACGGUCCAGACUCCUACGGGAGGCAGCAGUGGGGAAUAUUGGACAAUGGGCGAAAGCCUGAUCCAGCCAUGCCGCGUGUGUGAAGAAGGUCUUCGGAUUGUAAAGCACUUUAAGUUGGGAGGAAGGGCAUUAACCUAAUACGUUGGUGUCUUGACGUUACCGACAGAAUAAGCACCGGCUAACUCUGUGCCAGCAGCCGCGGUAAUACAGAGGGUGCAAGCGUUAAUCGGAAUUACUGGGCGUAAAGCGCGCGUAGGUGGUUUGUUAAGUUGAAUGUGAAAUCCCCGGGCUCAACCUGGGAACUGCAUCCAAAACUGGCAAGCUAGAGUAUGGUAGAGGGUAGUGGAAUUUCCUGUGUAGCGGUGAAAUGCGUAGAUAUAGGAAGGAACACCAGUGGCGAAGGCGACUACCUGGACUGAUACUGACACUGAGGUGCGAAAGCGUGGGGGAGCAAACAGGAUUAGAUACCCUGGUAGUCCACGCCGUAAACGAUGUCAACUAGCCGUUGGGAGUCUUGAACUCUUAGUGGCGCAGCUAACGCAUUAAGUUGACCGCCUGGGGAGUACGGCCGCAAGUUAAAACUCAA